Molecule: ribosomal RNA, 253 nt
Filed under: uncultured bacterium
Lineage: Bacteria
Description: partial 16S ribosomal RNA
Rfam family: Bacterial small subunit ribosomal RNA
Source: RNAcentral
GACAGAGGGUGCAAACGUUGUCCGGAAUCAUUGGGCGUAAAGCGCGCGUAGGUGGCCUCAUAAGUCCGCUGUGAAAGUCAAAGGCUCAACCUUUGAAAGCCGGUGGAUACUGUGAGGCUAGAGUACGGAAGAGGCGAGUGGAAUUCCUGGUGUAGCGGUGGAAUGCGCAGAUAUCAGGAGGAACACCAAUAGCGAAGGCAGCUCGCUGGGACGUUACUGACACUGAGGCGCGAAAGCGUGGGGAGCGAACAGG